This 301-nucleotide ribosomal RNA is filed under the name uncultured bacterium. Its description in RNAcentral is "partial 16S ribosomal RNA". It matches the Rfam family "Bacterial small subunit ribosomal RNA", at positions 509 to 807 of the family's 1533-position model. The record is from RNAcentral.
CAGUAGCCGCGGUAAUACGAAGGGUGCAAGCGUUACUCGGAAUUACUGGGCGUAAAGCGUGCGUAGGUGGUGGUUUAAGUCCGUUGUGAAAGCCCUGGGCUCAACCUGGGAAUUGCAGUGGAUACUGGAUCACUAGAGUGUGGUAGAGGAUAGUGGAAUUUCCGGUGUAGCAGUGAAAUGCGUAGAGAUCGGAAGGAACAUCUGUGGCGAAGGCGACUAUCCGGGCCAACACUGACACUGAGGCACGAAAGCGUGGGGAGCAAACAGGAUUAGAUACCCCGGUAGUCCCUGUCUCUUAUAC